This 419-nucleotide ribosomal RNA is filed under the name uncultured bacterium. RNAcentral's name for it is "bacterial SSU rRNA". It matches the Rfam family "Bacterial small subunit ribosomal RNA", at positions 355 to 787 of the family's 1533-position model. The record is from RNAcentral.
UGGGGAAUAUUGGGCAAUGGGCGCAAGCCUGACCCAGCAACGCCGCGUGAAGGAAGAAGGCUUUCGGGUUGUAAACUUCUUUUGUCAGGGACGAAGCAAGUGACGGUACCUGACGAAUAAGCCACGGCUAACUACGUGCCAGCAGCCGCGGUAAUACGUAGGUGGCAAGCGUUAUCCGGAUUUACUGGGUGUAAAGGGCGUGUAGGCGGGACUGCAAGUCAGAUGUGAAAACUCAGGGCUCAACCCUGAGCCUGCAUUUGAAACUGUAGUUCUUGAGUACUGGAGAGGCAGACGGAAUUCCUAGUGUAGCGGUGAAAUGCGUAGAUAUUAGGAGGAACACCAGUGGCGAAGGCGGUCUGCUGGACAGCAACUGACGCUGAGGCACGAAAGUGUGGGGAGCAAAACAGGAUUAGAUACCC